GACGAACGCUGGCGGCGUGCCUAACACAUGCAAGUGGAGCGACGAACCAGGCUUCGGCCUGGGGCAAAGCCGCGAACGGGUGAGUAACACGUGGGUAACCUGCCCCGAUGAUUGGGACAACCCGAGGAAACUCGGGCUAAUACCGAAUGUGCCCUCCGACCGCAAGGUCACUGGGGAAAGGAGCUUCGGCCUCCGCAUCGGGAUGGGCCCGCGGCCCAUUAGCUUGUUGGUGAGGUAACGGCUCACCAAGGCGACGAUGGGUAGCUGGUCUGAGAGGACGAUCAGCCACACUGGGACUGAGACACGGCCCAGACUCCUACGGGAGGCAGCAGUGGGGAAUCUUGCGCAAUGCGCGAAAGCGUGACGCAGCAACGCCGCGU
RNAcentral lists this ribosomal RNA (380 nucleotides) under uncultured bacterium. RNAcentral's name for it is "bacterial SSU rRNA". It matches the Rfam family "Bacterial small subunit ribosomal RNA", at positions 28 to 402 of the family's 1533-position model. The record is from RNAcentral.